AGUCCUGUAGCCCAGCGGCGAAGGCAGCACUCUUACAAAGUGACGAACGGUGGUUCGAGUCCACCCAGGACUACC
Molecule: transfer RNA, 75 nt
Filed under: Anatilimnocola aggregata
Lineage: Bacteria; Pseudomonadati; Planctomycetota; Planctomycetia; Pirellulales; Pirellulaceae
Description: Planctomycetes bacterium ETA_A8 tRNA-Val
Rfam family: tRNA
About the family: Transfer RNA (tRNA) molecules are approximately 80 nucleotides in length. Their secondary structure includes four short double-helical elements and three loops (D, anti-codon, and T loops).
Source: RNAcentral